AUCAUCUCACAGCUGGGAGAAGACAUUGUGUACCGCGGCAGGCUGAGCUCCGGAUGCAGCGUUGCCAUCAAGCGCUUCCGCCACCCCACCUUGCCCAACGCCCAGUUCAUGGAGGAGGCCAGAACUGUUGAGUUGUUGGGGACUGAUGGGCAAUCAAAGCUAUUUGGAUGCUGCUGUGAGAACGGUGAACAACUACUUGUUGCUGGGUUUAUGCCAAGGGGCACCAUUGCAGAGCAACUAUCCCGUUGUGUGUUUUCAGUUUUGUUCUUGACGUUUCUGUGUUCUAGAUAUUUAGAAUGAUUGCAGGUCAUAUCAUUCUAGUUUGGAAAGCCAAGUGUCUAGCAUUGAUCUGGUUAAAUUGAUGAAAGGGGCAUACCUUUGUUUGCAAGAUGGUACUGAAGAGGAACCCGACUUGAUGACAUUAGUGGCUGCUCUUGCAAACCUACAGAAAUAUCCAGCUGAGUCUUUAGAAUCAUGGACUGUCCAACUACCUGACAAUAAUCAUGCCAAGAAUGAUGGUACUCAACGGUUGAAAGUAGGUCUUGACUGUGCUCGAACGGCAGAGGAGAUUUCACCGAAGUGACCAACUGCGCAGUAUUAGAAAUGUACAUACUGAACAAGCCUUCUUCUGUUCUAGUGUGUCCCCCA
Molecule: long non-coding RNA, 648 nt
Organism: Brachypodium distachyon (stiff brome)
Lineage: Eukaryota; Viridiplantae; Streptophyta; Magnoliopsida; Poales; Poaceae
Exons: 4
Source: RefSeq, a predicted model, not a curated record